CAGGGGGGUCCUAGCAUCCUGCUUUGCUGGGUGUUGCCACGGAAGUCUAUGCAAUGUCGGUGACGCAAUUCCCAGUCAACCUACAACAGAUGCAUCAACCUUCGAUACAACAACGCAUCCACCGAGCAAAGGUAAGUGUGGUAGCGGAACAGCCAAGUAUUGACGACUUUUGUUUUGAUCGUAAUUUCUCGUGAGAAUCUUUUACCUUUGCUUCAUGAUAGACUCGUUAUCCUAAAUCGCAAUAACAACGUAAUAGUUACUGAUCAAGGUUAAACUUUUUAUUUGGUAUCUUGCAGCUAGUCGAUAUAAUUUUCGUGAUCAAAGUUGAGGAGUUAUAUUUGUUUACCAUAACAAAAAUAACCUUCAACAACAGUCGCUGAAUUCAAACAAUACUUUAUGAAGACUGUUUGUGUGUUUGUUGUUAACUACAUCCAUUGCAGAGCAAGAUGGAAUGUUGUCGAUCUUCGCAACAUUACCCAACAUGGUGCACAUUAAGCACAGCAUUGCUGUGCUCAGUAAUGUUGUGUGUGUUUUUCAGCAAUGUUGGCGGUGUUUACACGGGACAACAUCGGUGCAACAUUGCUGGAACAACUUGUGUAUUCGACCACAAUCCAAAAGAUGCUUCCUUGGUGUUACAACAACACUUUAUUACUAGACACAGCAUUUUUCGUAGCCGCCUCCGCAAACAUCUUUAUUUCCUUUUUGGGAAUCCUGUGGGAAAGAAAAGCGAAAUUUACUCGUCCCAGUCACCUUUCCUCAACACAGGAAGCCCUGUCAUCUUGAAAGAAAUCAAUAAAGGAGAUGGGUGUGGAGCUACAUUUUCCUCUGUAAUACUGCGUUGUUUGUACCUUAUGUUACAACACGAUAAGGAUUCAUAUUCUAUGUGAAAAUAAAAACUGCAUUGAUAUCCUCCAAAAAGGGACAGAAAGAAGGGGAAACCAUCGGGAUUUUUUUCGAGUAAAAUCGAUAAACAGCCCGUCAACUCGUUUCCCUCUUUGGUAGAUCUGACAAGUGUCACUUCUUUCAACAUCAUCAUUUUAAAUAGCUAUCCCAAUUUUUCUGCCAUUCAACAGUCAAUUCGUUUAUAUAUUUGAUUAUAUACUAAUACCCUGUUUUUUCUUCCUAUAUCUCGGAUAUAUGGCGGCUCACAUCUUUGAAGACACAGCCUUGGUGGCCUUGGGUGUUACCGAACAGACGGUAUACAAGUGAUUACUUUGUAUCAUUUGACAGAAGGCCAAUAGAAUUUAUCAUUAUGCACAAAGGUUAAAAUGAAGCAGUUUCAAUCAGUGUAUUUAGGAUGUACAAGAUAUACAAGCCUUUAUUAAAUAAUAUGUUGAUGAUGUAGAAGAAAAACGUUUAAUUGAUUUAUUUAUUCUUCUGUAAAAAAAACCUUUAAAUUCUACUGUGCUUGUUACGAGAAUCUAUAAAAACAAUACAAUUCCUCGGCUUUUACUGCAA
Molecule: long non-coding RNA, 1458 nt
Organism: Nematostella vectensis (starlet sea anemone)
Lineage: Eukaryota; Metazoa; Cnidaria; Anthozoa; Actiniaria; Edwardsiidae
Exons: 2
Source: RefSeq, a predicted model, not a curated record